This is a long non-coding RNA of Etheostoma spectabile (orangethroat darter), 65 nucleotides long. RefSeq lists it as uncharacterized. NCBI's taxonomy places the organism in Eukaryota, Metazoa, Chordata, Actinopteri, Perciformes, Percidae. The record is from RefSeq and is a predicted model, not a curated record. The transcript is spliced from 3 exons.
AGAUAGCUAGCUAAUCAACUAGUAACACUCAGCUUUGCUUUGAUUAUGAAGAUAUUCCUGUUUUU